Molecule: long non-coding RNA, 1511 nt
Filed under: Canis lupus familiaris (dog)
Lineage: Eukaryota; Metazoa; Chordata; Mammalia; Carnivora; Canidae
Description: lncRNA (ENSCAFG00000054360.1)
Source: RNAcentral
GCCUGCCUUUGGCCCAGGGCGCGAUCCUGGAGACCCGGGAUCAAGUCCCACGUCAGGCUCCCUGCAUGGAGCCUGCUUCUCCCUCCUCCUGUGUCUCUGCCUCUCUCUCUCUCUCUAUGUCUAUAAUAAAUAAAUAAAUAAAUAAAUAAAUAAAUAAAUAAAUAAAUCUAUCUUAAAAAAAAAAAAAAAAAGAAAAUUAGUUGUCAGGGACCUCUUACCUGACUGUAAGUUCUUUGAGGAAUGGCACAUGUCUCAUUGAUCUUGGUAUCACCAAUGCCUUGCAGGGUGCCUGGCCUAUAGUGACCAUUCACCGGAUGCUGAUCGAGUAAAUUCUGCAUACAAAUGAGGUAUGCUCUACAGAGGAGAGAGGAAGCUAGAGACCCAGUCUCGUCCUGCAUUACAACAAUGAACCAUCUUGAGCACCUGGAAGCUACCAAAGCACCUGCUGCUUCUUGCACUCCAGCACCAAGUGAGAUAAGUAAGCUUAUUGUUGAUUAAGGGAGCACUGUGUCUUACCAAUCUCUUUAUUAAGAUAAAUAAACGUGUCCACUAGGACUGGGUGGCUGGAGAAGCCCAAUAUGAAAUCGCUCCAUUUCUGAAACCCACCAGCUUCAAGAAAUGGGUCCCUGGAGAGAUUCGCAAUCUUUGUUUGAAUCCCUUGACUCUCAGGCGUGAUGUUUGAUUUCAAAGUCUGUGUACACAGUGCUCAUGGCUCUAGGAAAAUGAGAAAACGUGGCUGGUUCCCCAGUUCUUGGCAGGUUUUCUCCUCUCCCUAUUCUGCUUUCCAAGGCCUUCCAAAGGCCUAUGAAAAUUAGCCCCACCUCUCCAGGUGCAAGGGGAAAAUAGGUUUACUUUGCAUUUUGGUGAUAACACAAACCUAUACCCAAGAAAAGGUCCACUUAUGAUUAUUGUUUUCUUGCUAAUUAUUUUUGUAUUGUGGUAAAAAAAAAAAAAAAAGCUAGCAUUAAAUUCACCACCCUAACCAUUUUAAAGUGUAUAGUUCAGUAGAGUUAAAUAUAUUUGCAUUUUGUAUAAUAGAUUCUGGAGUGUCUGUGUCUUGUAGAAGCAAAACUGUAUAACCAUUAAGCACUAAUUCCCAUCUCAUUCCCUCUGAAAAAACACCUUUGUACUUUGUUUUCUAUGAAUUUCACGACUUCAGAUACUUAUAAGAGUGGAAUCAUAAAGUAUUUUGUCCUUUCAUGACGGGUUCUUCUCACUUUGCAUAAACUCCUGGAGUUUAUUAUGUGGAUUAUUUAAUAUAUAACAUGACAAGGUUUAUGGGGAAAACGUACAGCAAGGUUGUCAGUGCCAGAGCUAACGGUUCGGUGGCCCUUGCUUUUCUCUUCUACUCACACCUGUGCGGGUUCUUCUCAAAGCUUCUAAGACCAGGCCUCCCCUGUCCCAUCCUGAGACCUUGAUCAACAUAAUGUAGGUAGGGGGAUGGGGUGGGAUUCUUGGUAGAGCAGCUGGAUUGGGUCCCGGCAGAGGCCCAUGCAACGGAGGUCCCCGGC